This 1023-nucleotide ribosomal RNA is filed under the name Staphylococcus auricularis. RNAcentral's name for it is "bacterial SSU rRNA". It matches the Rfam family "Bacterial small subunit ribosomal RNA", at positions 62 to 1064 of the family's 1533-position model. The record is from RNAcentral. Lineage: Bacteria; Bacillati; Bacillota; Bacilli; Caryophanales; Staphylococcaceae.
UCGAGCGUCCAGAUAAGGAGCUUGCUCCUUUGACGUUAACGGCGGACGGGUGAGUAACACGUGGGUAACCUACCUAUAAGACUGGAAUAACUCCGGGAAACCGGGGCUAAUGCCGGAUAACAUGUUGAACCGCAUGGUUCUACAGUGAAAGGCGGCUUUGCUGUCACUUAUAGAUGGACCCGCGCCGUAUUAGCUAGUUGGUGAGGUAAUGGCUCACCAAGGCAACGAUACGUAGCCGACCUGAGAGGGUGAUCGGCCACACUGGAACUGAGACACGGUCCAGACUCCUACGGGAGGCAGCAGUAGGGAAUCUUCCGCAAUGGGCGAAAGCCUGACGGAGCAACGCCGCGUGAGUGAUGAAGGUCUUCGGAUCGUAAAACUCUGUUAUUAGGGAAGAACAAAUGCGUAAGUAACUGUGCGCGUCUUGACGGUACCUAAUCAGAAAGCCACGGCUAACUACGUGCCAGCAGCCGCGGUAAUACGUAGGUGGCAAGCGUUAUCCGGAAUUAUUGGGCGUAAAGCGCGCGUAGGCGGUUUUUUAAGUCUGAUGUGAAAGCCCACGGCUCAACCGUGGAGGGUCAUUGGAAACUGAAAAACUUGAGUGCAGAAGAGGAAAGUGGAAUUCCAUGUGUAGCGGUGAAAUGCGCAGAGAUAUGGAGGAACACCAGUGGCGAAGGCGACUUUCUGGUCUGUAACUGACGCUGAUGUGCGAAAGCGUGGGGAUCAAACAGGAUUAGAUACCCUGGUAGUCCACGCCGUAAACGAUGAGUGCUAAGUGUUAGGGGGUUUCCGCCCCUUAGUGCUGCAGCUAACGCAUUAAGCACUCCGCCUGGGGAGUACGGCCGCAAGGCUUAAACUCAAAGGAAUUGACGGGGACCCGCACAAGCGGUGGAGCAUGUGGUUUAAUUCGAAGCAACGCGAAGAACCUUACCAAAUCUUGACUUCCUUUGACCGCUCUAAAGAUAGAAUCUUCCCCUUCGGGGGACAAAGUGACAGGUGGUGCAUGGUUGUCGUCAGCUCCGG